CCCAUCGAUGAUGAUGAGCUGAUCUCCUACAUCACCUCCGGCCUCGACAUGGAGUACCAACCUCUCGUCUCCGCCAACGACGCCCGCACCGAGCCCAUCAGCAUCGACGAUCUCUACGCCCAGAUGAGUAACUUCGAUC
Molecule: small nucleolar RNA, 139 nt
Filed under: Triticum aestivum (bread wheat)
Lineage: Eukaryota; Viridiplantae; Streptophyta; Magnoliopsida; Poales; Poaceae
Also listed under: 1 other name
Description: Small nucleolar RNA Z247
Rfam family: Small nucleolar RNA Z247
About the family: Z247 is a member of the C/D class of snoRNA which contain the C (UGAUGA) and D (CUGA) box motifs. Most of the members of the box C/D family function in directing site-specific 2'-O-methylation of substrate RNAs.
Source: Rfam by way of RNAcentral